GGAGGAUAGGCAAAUGUUGGUUUGUUGCGGCACCCUGCUAAGGUGUUCCGGCUAUCCGGUGAUGGUUCGAUUCCAUUGUCCUCCG
RNAcentral lists this transfer RNA (85 nucleotides) under Chitinophaga niabensis. RNAcentral describes it as "tRNA_Pseudo_GCT". It matches the Rfam family "tRNA". Rfam says of the family: Transfer RNA (tRNA) molecules are approximately 80 nucleotides in length. Their secondary structure includes four short double-helical elements and three loops (D, anti-codon, and T loops). The record is from RNAcentral. Lineage: Bacteria; Pseudomonadati; Bacteroidota; Chitinophagia; Chitinophagales; Chitinophagaceae.